This 405-nucleotide ribosomal RNA is filed under the name uncultured bacterium. RNAcentral describes it as "partial 16S ribosomal RNA". It matches the Rfam family "Bacterial small subunit ribosomal RNA", at positions 29 to 525 of the family's 1533-position model. The record is from RNAcentral.
AUUGAACGCUGGCGGCAGGCCUAACACAUGCAAGUCGAACGAGUGGCGGACGGGUGAGUAAUGUCUGGGAAACUGCCUGAUGGAGGGGGCUAACUACUGGAAACGGUAGCUAAUACCGCAUACCAUCAGAUGUGCCCAGAUGGGUUUAGCUAGUUGGGGGGGAAACGGCUCACCAAGGCGACGAUCCCUAGCUGGUCUGCGGGGAUGACCAGCACAACGGGAACUGGGACACGGCCCAGACCCCAAGGGAAGGCAGCAGUGGGGAAUAUUGUACAAUGGGGGCAAGCCUGAUGCAGCCAUGCCGCGUGUAGGAAGAAGGCCUUCGGGUUGUAAAGUACUUUCAGCGGGGAGGCGUUACCCGCAGAAGAAGCACCGGCUAACUCCGGGCCAGCAGCCGCGGUAAUU